CAGUCGCCGCGGGAAUACGGAGGGGGCUAGCGUUGUUCGGAAUUACUGGGCGUAAAGCGCACGUAGGCGGCUUGGUAAGUCAGGGGUGAAAUCCCGAGGCUCAACCUCGGAACUGCCUUUGAUACUGGGUAUCUUGAGUCCGAGAGAGGUGAGUGGAACUCCUAGUGUAGAGGUGAAAUUCGUAGAUAUUAGGAAGAACACCAGUGGCGAAGGCGGCUCACUGGCUCGGAACUGACGCUGAGGCGCGAAAGCGUGGGGAGCAAACAGGAUUAGAUACCCCCGUAGUCCCUGUCUCUUAUAC
RNAcentral lists this ribosomal RNA (301 nucleotides) under uncultured bacterium. RNAcentral's name for it is "partial 16S ribosomal RNA". It matches the Rfam family "Bacterial small subunit ribosomal RNA", at positions 509 to 807 of the family's 1533-position model. The record is from RNAcentral.